UUUGCAUUAAUUGAGUCAUGUUCGGCUCUUCCUGCACUGUCGGAGUAUUUUCAGUAGGGUCAAUGAUUUCUUCCUGCUGAGAUGUGCCACUAUUCAAUUGGAGAGUGUUAUCAUUAAGUGGAUUUGAUGUCCCUCCUCCCGCUCCUUGAGUAUUCUUCAUUCGUCGUGGAGGCAUAUUGAUCUAUGACAAAUUUGAGAUGAUAACUUAUCCUUAAUAAAGUUAUAAACUUAUUUAAGACAGGUC
Molecule: long non-coding RNA, 244 nt
Filed under: Elaeis guineensis (African oil palm)
Lineage: Eukaryota; Viridiplantae; Streptophyta; Magnoliopsida; Arecales; Arecaceae
Description: long non-coding RNA (EGUI_LNC067148)
Source: RNAcentral